CAGUAGCCGCGGGAAUACGGAGGGAGCUAGCGUUGUUCGGAAUUACUGGGCGUAAAGCGCGCGUAGGCGGUUACUCAAGUCAGAGGUGAAAGCCCGGGGCUCAACCCCGGAACUGCCUUUGAAACUAGGUGACUAGAAUCUUGGAGAGGUCAGUGGAAUUCCGAGUGUAGAGGUGAAAUUCGUAGAUAUUCGGAAGAACACCAGUGGCGAAGGCGACUGACUGGACAAGUAUUGACGCUGAGGUGCGAAAGCGUGGGGAGCAAACAGGAUUAGAGACCCCCGUAUCCCUGUCUCUUAUACA
RNAcentral lists this ribosomal RNA (301 nucleotides) under uncultured bacterium. RNAcentral describes it as "partial 16S ribosomal RNA". It matches the Rfam family "Bacterial small subunit ribosomal RNA", at positions 509 to 809 of the family's 1533-position model. The record is from RNAcentral.